Mesocricetus auratus (golden hamster) is the source of this 901-nucleotide long non-coding RNA. RefSeq lists it as uncharacterized. The transcript is spliced from 4 exons. The record is from RefSeq and is a predicted model, not a curated record. NCBI's taxonomy places the organism in Eukaryota, Metazoa, Chordata, Mammalia, Rodentia, Cricetidae.
GAUGGAACACAGGGCUGACCAGACUUUCUGGAGACUUGUAUCCUGCAGCCAGUCAUCACCAACGUUUUAACCCUGCUGCAGAUAUGGUAUCACAGGGGAAGGAAGCUGAAGGAAGAAAACAUUUCAGGUGUGGGGCUGGAAGUUUGAAGUCAAGACCUACAUUUUUAAAAAGUUAAAUUAAAUUUAUUGCAUGUGAAUGAUGUGUGUGCAUGCGUGUGGGUGUGCACAUGCCAUGUCACAGGUGUGGAGAGCAGAGGAGAACUUUCUGGAAUCAGUCCUCGCCUUUUCCUCUGGGAUCCUGGACUCAGAGUCUGAUGAACAGGCUUGCAAGGUGCGCACCACACCGCUAACCUAACCCUUGACUGUCAUCAUACAGAAGAAACCUUGACCAUGACAAUUGCUUCCUCACCACAGCAUCCUGAACUGCAGGAGGGCAUGGUAUCAUGGAACCAAAGCUCGUUUUAAAGAAAAGCAUAGCAGAUAUUUCAUAAAUAGACUCCUUUUGCAACUUGAAAGUUUGAAGAAUGCCCACUGGUUAUUGCGAUGACUUAUGAGCUGGGAGGCUACAAAGGUCUAUCUGCAAAGCCUUGGCCUCCACUCUCCAGAUGUUCUAAAGACGGUUGCAAAGCCUUGGCCUCCACUCUCCAGAUGUUCUAAAGACGCCCCUGGCCUUUCCUGGUACCUGAAACCUGGAACGUGUCUGGAAAUAAUCUCUCCAGUGAAUAAAUGAAUCAAGGAUCAAGCUCUGCUUGGAACAAACUUGUGGAGGAAGAAGGUUGCUACUUGCUAUGUGCUUCGCACAUAACACAGCCCCUUCCUAGAAAAAAGGGCUGACCUUGGCUUUCCUGAGUCCCUUCAUUAAGAUUCUAACUCUGGGAUCUUCAGACUGUGAAUUAAAUGU